AAAAUUAUUUUCAAUAAAAUAAAAUGACCAAAAUACCCCUAAAAAAUUCAAGGGGUAUUUUGGUCAUUAUAUGUUAUCAAAAACUUAUUUUUAAUAUGUUUUUUUUAUAGGUGAGCUCCAAUGAGAAGAUGACAAGUACCAAAUUUCAUAUUCAUAUAAUUUGUAUAAAAAAAAACUAAAAAUAAAAUACUUUGAGACGUUGGAGUUAAGAUCAAACGAUGAUUGACUGUCUUGAUCAAAAUUGGACGGUGGGAUGGUAGGGAAAGUAUAUGUCUUCUAUGCUGUAGAAGAAGUAUAGAAACAUUUCUUAUUAGAGAUUACAUAUCCUUAAAAAUUACGUCUAAAAAUCCAUCUCAAAAAUAGAUUUUUAAGAAAGGGACUCAUUUUUACAUGGGCUGUUGUUUUGCCAAAUGAUCGUGACGGGCAUGCUCAUGUAGAAGCAUAGUGUGCAUUAAUUCCCUCGGGCAAAAGAGAUAUUUUGAAAUAUUUUUAUACGAAAAUUUGAGAUCUACAUGAGAAUCAUUAGAUGGUUAUUUUUAAAAGAAAUUAAAUUUGGAGUUCCUCAUCACUCUUGCUCUCCAAAAGUUUCAAUUCUUCUGUAUUUAAGGUUGGUCUCUAGGCUCAAGAGGUCAUGUCCCCGAAAUUCAAGGUCUUAAAAAUACUCAUAAUAUGAGUUCUACCUGAGACCAAAUGGACAAUAAGCUCCUCCAGGACCAGCAUAUCUUUUAUUUCCAUCGGGAGCAAACUGUAUAUUAACUCGCUCGGGCAAAAGCCAUUAAAGUUGGGCAAAUAUAAGAGCGAUUUAAAUUGAAGAUCGAGGAAAAGAGUAAAUUUCGAGGAAUAUGGGGAUUCCAUCCACCAAAAGGUUCCAUUCAUUGUUGUAAGAUUAUGUCUUUUGCCUUAAAAGGUUUUUAUUUGUUAGACUAAAUAUGGGUUGGUUUCUUAACAUGAUUGGGGUUAACAUAUUCUAUGACCUUCCUUUCAUUUUCAUUUUGUAAGUAAAUUGGCAUGGCUUCCAUUUUGUAAGUAAAUUGGCAGCACGCUGUCCCUCUAGAUGGCCG
RNAcentral lists this long non-coding RNA (1061 nucleotides) under Amborella trichopoda. RNAcentral describes it as "long non-coding RNA (ATRI_LNC003047)". The record is from RNAcentral. Lineage: Eukaryota; Viridiplantae; Streptophyta; Magnoliopsida; Amborellales; Amborellaceae.